This 404-nucleotide ribosomal RNA is filed under the name uncultured Rubellimicrobium sp. RNAcentral's name for it is "bacterial SSU rRNA". It matches the Rfam family "Bacterial small subunit ribosomal RNA", at positions 355 to 776 of the family's 1533-position model. Lineage: Bacteria; Pseudomonadati; Pseudomonadota; Alphaproteobacteria; Rhodobacterales; Roseobacteraceae. The record is from RNAcentral.
UGGGGAAUCUUAGACAAUGGGCGCAAGCCUGAUCUAGCCAUGCCGCGUGGGUGAUGAAGGCCUUAGGGUCGUAAAGCCCUUUCGCCGGGGAAGAUAAUGACGGUACCCGGUAAAGAAACCCCGGCUAACUCCGUGCCAGCAGCCGCGGUAAUACGGAGGGGGUUAGCGUUGUUCGGAAUGACUGGGCGUAAAGCGCGCGUAGGCGGAUCAGAAAGUUGGGGGUGAAAUCCCGGGGCUCAACCCCGGAAUGGCCUUCAAGACUCCUGGUCUUGAGUUCGAGAGAGGUGAGUGGAAUUCCGAGUGUAGAGGUGAAAUUCGUAGAUAUUCGGAGGAACACCAGUGGCGAAGGCGGCUCACUGGCUCGACACUGACGCUGAGGUGCGAAAGCGUGGGGAGCAAACAGG